CAGCCGCAGUGGGAAGAGCAAAGAAGUUGUCCUGGGGAAGCUACAUGAGGUCUACAGUCGACUCUGUGCCCAGAGGCAGGUGUCUGCGGUGGGUCAAGGUGAGUGUUUGUCGCUCUGCUCUCUGCUGGAGAGUCGAGGGAUCUUCGCGCUGAAGAAAUCCAAAGAAUCUCGACUAACCAAGGUUUUCCUAAAGAUUGAGGAGAAAGACGUGGAAAACGCUUUAAAGGAUCGGACUUUGCUGGGCAGCAUCCUGGCUGCUGGAUUGCCCUCCUGAAUUUACGCUUUUUUUUUUUUUUUUUUACCUUUACUUUUUUGUUUUAAAUUAGAAUUUUAUUUAAAUUUUUAAAAAACAUAUUUUAUUUUUUAUCUCAUUUUUGCUGAGAGUCUGUACAUGUCUGUAAAUGCCUUUACUUCUAUUUUUUUUUUUAAUUUUGACAUGAGAUGCAUUUUACAGCUUUGUUUCAAAUGACAUUUGAAACUUCCUUUUUUAUGCUGUAAAUAAACAUUUGAAACACACACAUUAGACCUUUUAAAAGAAACUAUGAAAUCCUUUUCCCACAAGAUGGCGACACUUGUAUAGAAACUCGAAGUCCAAACAGCUGAGCGUUUCUUAUCUGUUAGCAGACGGUUCUUUGGAUUUUAACGAAGUUCUCGGUGUUUCUCUCCGACUGACUGACUGGUUGACGGUUUGAAUCUGUUGCCUGACUCUGGUUGUGACAGUGUUGCUGCUGCAGCACUUCACUCCCACAGGCUGUUGCAUAACUGUAGUCCUCAGUGCAGUCCACCUAUUAAAAACCCGCUCCCUGUGUGUGAGCUCAGUUUUUAAUAA
Long non-coding RNA from Cynoglossus semilaevis (tongue sole), 829 nucleotides. RefSeq lists it as uncharacterized. NCBI's taxonomy places the organism in Eukaryota, Metazoa, Chordata, Actinopteri, Pleuronectiformes, Cynoglossidae. The record is from RefSeq and is a predicted model, not a curated record. The transcript is spliced from 3 exons.